Molecule: ribosomal RNA, 468 nt
Filed under: uncultured bacterium
Lineage: Bacteria
Description: partial 16S ribosomal RNA
Rfam family: Bacterial small subunit ribosomal RNA
Source: RNAcentral
GACGAACGCUGGCGGCGUGCUUAACACAUGCAAGUCGAACGGUGAAGCUCCAGCUUGCUGGAGUGGAUCAGUGGCGAACGGGUGAGUAACACGUGAGCAACCUGCCCCUGACUCUGGAAUAAGCGCUGGAAACGGCGUCUAAUACUGGAUACGAGAAGGGUCCGCAUGGGCACUUUCUGGAAAGUUUUUCGGUUGGGGAUGGGCUCGCGGCCUAUCAGCUUGUUGGCGAGGUAAUGGCUCACCAAGGCGACGACGGGUAGCCGGCCUGAGAGGGCGACCGGCCACACUGGGACUGAGACACGGCCCAGACUCCUACGGGAGGCAGCAGUGGGGAAUAUUGCACAAUGGGCGAAAGCCUGAUGCAGCGACGCCGCGUGAGGGAUGACGGCCUUCGGGUUGUAAACCUCUUUCAGCAGGGAAGAAGCGAAAGUGACGGUACCUGCAGAAGAAGCACCGGCUAACUACGUG